Clarias gariepinus (North African catfish) is the source of this 2218-nucleotide non-coding RNA. Lineage: Eukaryota; Metazoa; Chordata; Actinopteri; Siluriformes; Clariidae. The record is from the annotation of a RefSeq genome assembly.
AUGAUCACACUCUUUGUGGCUCUUUACUCUCUGCUUUGUCUCUGCACAAAUGGAAACACGUCUGACAUCAAGGAGCUUUAUGUGAAAACAGUAAAGCGUGGAGAAGCUGUAACUAUGGAGUGUAACAUUAGUGAGAUCACGAAUAAACUUAAUUUAGUUUGGUACAGGCAGCGUUUUGGAAAAUUGCCUCAGUUUUUGGCCAAACCGUAUAAUAACGCUCAGGGCUACACGUUCGAUACAGGACUUAAUGAUAUCCGCUUCAGUUUUACUGUAAAUGAUCAGAAAUUUGACCUCAACAUUAAUAAAACAAGAGAAGAUGAUGGAGGAGAAUAUUUUUGUGGAGAAAUGGAGGGAAACACGAUAAGGUUCACAUCUGGAACACGUCUGCAAAUUCAAGACCGUCCUACACUCAGAAUGUUGAAGACAGAGUUUGUUACACCCCAGUGUUCAAACAGCAGCAAAGUAGAAGGUGAGAGCUGUCCUGAUAACAUGAGCAUUUUCUUCUGGCUUUCCAUCUCAAGGAUCGGAGUUCUCUUCCUCAUGGUUAUUACCCUCACCAUGUCUACAUGGAUUUAAAAUCAAAAAGCUUUGCAAAGAAUGUUUUUAACUAUGAUAACAUUAACCUUUUUCUAUUUUUCUAUUUCUAUAUUAUAAAUAUAUAUUAUUUUUAUAUUUAUAUUUCUUUGCUCUAUAAGAGAAAGUUCUGUGGUUUCGCUCUAGUCAAAUAUUUUGUGCAACACAAAUGUAAUCGGCCAAAACACAGUAUUGGUGCUGUUUUUAUUCAUAUUUUUAUGUAGUGGCCAAAGAAGCUACUUCUGAAGUUUAUGUGACAUGGAAGUGGUCAAUCUCGCUUCCCUAAAAAUUUCAGCCGUUUUUUUUUCUAAAGACGAUUUUAUAUGUGACCCAAAAAUGCAAAUUAUUCAUAUUACUUUGAAUAUUGAUGUUAAAUUCGGUUUUUGGUAAAGGCUUAAAAGGCAAAAAAUCUGUGGUGUCCAUAAACAUGUCACAUUCAUAGGGCAAUAUCUUAACAGUUUAGAAUUUUAUAAUACAGUAAUACAGAAAAUAAUCCUCAGGUUUAUGUCUUUUCAUGUGAAAUCUAAUUUUCCCAAGUUUUAUCUGAAUGACAGUUAAGAUCGUUGGAAGAUUUGAUUUAAAAAAGUUACAGACACUAUAUAUAUUUAGCAUGCUAUGUAAAUAGCAAAUUAUAUAUUUGAUAAAAUUAUAAACAUUUAUGCACGUUUACAAAAAAAAACAUUGUAUGGAUCAGGAGAUAAUAACAAAGUAUUAUAAAUACUGAUUGUUUGAAGUGAGACAGUAUAACGCUGAAAAAUAGAUUUAAAAUCAGAUAUAAAAUCAUCUCUUCAAAACAACUGAAGUCAGAAACUUGACAUUUUUAGGGAAGCGAGAUCGGUCACUUCCAUGUUGUAUAAACUUCAGAAGUAGUUUCUUUGCCCACACACUGUAUUAGAUGUAUUUAUUUUAUUAUUUAUUUUUAAACAUCAGCACUAAUACUGUGUUUUGGCCGUUUGGAUUGUGAAUGCAAUUAAAAUGCAUUAAAAAAAUUACUCAUUGUUUCCAAAUGAAAACAUAUUUUUAAAGUACUGAAGCCAUUAUGACCAUUAUUUCCACUCUAGUUAUUUCCAAUCACAUUAAUUUUAUUUUCUGUGUAUAACACUUUGAGAGAAAUAAUAAAGAUAAUGCAGUAGGUUUACUUCAUUACUUUACCUAAAUACAUAAUAACAUAUCUGUACUUCAGUAGUUUGAUUAGCCAAUACUUUCUAUUUUUACUCCACUACAUUCUUCAGCAAAUAUCUUUAUUAUAUGGACUUGGUUACAUUUCUGCAUGGCAUUGCAUUACAUAACUACUGUACAGAUGUAGCAGGAAUGUCGCCCCCUCCUGACUGUUAUGUGUAACUUGUCCUCACUUAAAUGCUUAAUCAUGUAACAGGAGCUGAGAGGGUUUGAUGAGAGCAGAGAGAAAGAGAGGGUUUUUACUAUGACAUAAAAGCUACAGUGAGUUAAUACAAGCUCAGAACUUUUUAUUCUUGAGUAAAAUAAAGAAUUGUAAGAAUUUUACAUUUCUACUACUUUCACUUGAUUGAUGGAGGAUCUCUUCUUUUACUCAAAUACACAAUUUGAGUACAUUGCCCAAAACUGUGAACAUUUAACAAUGGAGAUUAUCACAAAGCAGCUUUAGAGAAAUAAAAUUCUGAAUAUA